AAUCUGGCAGCUUGGGCUCGCCAGAAAAAUGUUUCCGGGUAGCAUCUGGCUGCUUGGUUCUACUGCUGAUACAGUUCGCGUUACUUUGGAUACAGAUACUUCUAUACAUCUGAAUUCUAUCUUUGGCAUCAUUUUGUACACCAUUUGGCAAGCCGUAUAGUAGGUCAUAAAACAUUCUAAACACAUUGUUUCCCAAUUUUGUGAGAGGGAUACUGUAAACGGACAGCCUCCUCUACUAUUACUUUUCCUCAACACAAGUAGUUGAUACCAGAGCUAAUUUUCAAAUUUUGGCAGACCUGUUUACUUGUCGACAUGCUCCUUGUAGAGUUGCACCUGCCAGAAGGGCAACCACACGCAAUCGCUGGGGGAACAACAAAAAUAACAUAGCAUUAAUACUGAAAAAAAUCUGUUUGAAUUGCAGUCUCUGAAAUAGAAGGAAACAUCAGACUUCGAUAUCGAUAUUUAAAAGAUGCAGGUUGCUGGUCUGAAAGGAUACACGAUACGAGACUGCUAAUAAAAUGGUAGUUAACAGCCAUUAUGCUUCAUCAAUUAUCUUCAUGCUGAUUGCUGCGAGAUAUCACUAUGCAAAUACGAAUUGUU
This is a long non-coding RNA of Schistocerca piceifrons (Central American locust), 600 nucleotides long. RefSeq lists it as uncharacterized. NCBI's taxonomy places the organism in Eukaryota, Metazoa, Arthropoda, Insecta, Orthoptera, Acrididae. The record is from RefSeq and is a predicted model, not a curated record. The transcript is spliced from 4 exons.